RNAcentral lists this ribosomal RNA (440 nucleotides) under uncultured bacterium. Its description in RNAcentral is "partial 16S ribosomal RNA". It matches the Rfam family "Bacterial small subunit ribosomal RNA", at positions 338 to 795 of the family's 1533-position model. The record is from RNAcentral.
CCUACGGGUGGCAGCAGUGGGGGAUAUUGCACAAUGGGGGGAACCCUGAUGCAGCGACGCCGCGUGUGGGAAGACGGUCCUCUGGAUUGUAAACCACUGCCCCCAGGGACGAAAAUGACGGUACCUGGGGAGGAAGCUCCGGCUAACUACGUGCCAGCAGCCGCGGUAAUAGGUAGGGAGCGAGCGUUGUCCGGAAUUACUGGGUGAAAAGGGAGCGUAGGCGGGGAUGCAAGUUGGGUGUCAAAACUACCGGCUCAACUGGUAGUCGCACUCAAAACUGCAGCUCUUGAGUGAAGUAGAGGCAGGCGGAAUUCCUAGUGUAGCGGUGAAAUGCGUAGAUAUCAGGAGGAACACCGGUGGCGAAGGCGGCCUGCUGGACUGCGACUGACGUUGAGGCCCGAAAGCGUGGGGAGCAAACAGGAUUAGAUACCCGUGUAGUC